RNAcentral lists this ribosomal RNA (448 nucleotides) under uncultured bacterium. RNAcentral describes it as "bacterial SSU rRNA". It matches the Rfam family "Bacterial small subunit ribosomal RNA", at positions 28 to 471 of the family's 1533-position model. The record is from RNAcentral.
GACGAACGCUGGCGGCGUGCUUAACACAUGCAAGUCGAGCGGUAAGGCCCUUUCGGGGGUACACGAGCGGCGAACGGGUGAGUAACACGUGGGUGACCUGCCCUCAGCUCUGGGAUAAGCCUGGGAAACUGGGUCUAAUACUGGAUAUGACUCCACGGUGCAUGUCGUGGGGUGGAAAGCCUUGUGCGGCUGAGGAUGGGCCCGCGGCCUAUCAGCUUGUUGGUGGGGUGANGGCUUACCAAGGCUACGAUCCGUAACCGGCCUGAGAGGGCGGUCGGUCACACUGACACUGACAUACGGGUCAGACUCCUACGGGAGGCAGCAGUCGGGAAUUUUGGGCAAUGGGCGAAAGCCUGACCCAGCAACGCCGCGUGAAGGAUGAAAUCCCUCGGGAUGUAAACUUCGCAAGAACGGGAAGAAUAAGCGAGAGUUAAUAUCUUUCGUGAUG